This 696-nucleotide ribosomal RNA is filed under the name uncultured bacterium. RNAcentral's name for it is "bacterial SSU rRNA". It matches the Rfam family "Bacterial small subunit ribosomal RNA", at positions 141 to 851 of the family's 1533-position model. The record is from RNAcentral.
GGACAACCUCGGGAAACCGUGGGUAAUACCGGGUACUCCGCCACCGCCGCAUGGGGGAAACGGGAGAGCGUAUGCGGCGGGGGAUGGGCCCGCGGCCUGUUAGUUAGUUGGCGGGGCAACGGCCCACCAAGGCGAUUAUGGGUAGCUGGGUUGAGAGACCGACCAGCCAGAUUGGGAGUGAGACACGGCCCAGACUCCUACGGGAGGCAGCACUGGGGAAUCUUGCGCAAUGGGGGCAACCCUGACGCAGCGACGCCGCGUGCGGGACGAAGGCCUUCGGGUCGUAAACCGCUUUCAGCAGGGACGAGGCCGCAAGGUGACGGUACCUGCAGAAGAAGCCCCGGCUAACUACGUGCCAGCAGCCGCGGUAAUACGUAGGGGGCGAGCGUUAUCCGGAUUCAUUGGGCGUAAAGCGCUCGUAGGCUGCCCGCUAGGUCCGGGGUCAAAUCCGGGGGCUCAACCCCCGCACGCCCCGGAUACCGGCGGGCUUGAGUCGGGUAGGGGAAGGCGGAAUUCCAGGUGUAGCGGUGGAAUGCGCAGAUAUCUGGAAGAACACCGGUGGCGAAGGCGGCCUUCUGGGCCUCGACUGACGCUGAGGAGCGAAAGCUGGGGGAGCGAACAGGAUUAGAUACCCUGGUAGUCCCAGCCGUAAACGAUGGACGCUAGGUGUGGGGGGAUUGUCCCUCCGUGCCGCAG